CACCGCGGUCAGACGAGACGCCCGAGCGGAUGGCCACCGGCGUAAAGAGUGGUUAGGGAAACCCUCAACUAAAGCUGAACGCCCCCAAAGCUGUGAUACGCAUUCGAUGGCCUGAAACCCCACCGCGAAAGUGACUUUAACCGACCCGAACCCACGAUAGCCAGGACA
RNAcentral lists this ribosomal RNA (168 nucleotides) under Diaphus anderseni (Andersen's lantern fish). RNAcentral describes it as "partial small subunit ribosomal RNA". Lineage: Eukaryota; Metazoa; Chordata; Actinopteri; Myctophiformes; Myctophidae. The record is from RNAcentral.